Molecule: ribosomal RNA, 500 nt
Filed under: uncultured bacterium
Lineage: Bacteria
Description: bacterial SSU rRNA
Rfam family: Bacterial small subunit ribosomal RNA
Source: RNAcentral
UAGUCCACGCCGUAAACGAUGAUAACUAGCUGUUCGGGCCCACAGGGCUUGAGUGGCGCAGCUAACGCAUUAAGUUAUCCGCCUGGGGAGUACGGUCGCAAGAUUAAAACUCAAAGGAAUUGACGGGGGCCUGCACAAGCGGUGGAGCAUGUGGUUUAAUUCGACGCAACGCGCAGAACCUUACCAGCUUUUGACAUCCUGGUCGCGGAUUUGGGAGACCAUUUCCUUCAGUUCGGCUGGACCAGUGACAGGUGCUGCAUGGCUGUCGUCAGCUCGUGUCGUGAGAUGUUGGGUUAAGUCCCGCAACGAGCGCAACCCUCAUCCUUAGUUGCCAGCAUUUAGUUGGGCACUCUAAGGAAACUGCCGGUGAUAAGCCGGAGGAGGGUGGGGAUGACGUCAAGUCCUCAUGGCCUUUAUGACCAGGGCUGCACACGUCCUACAAUGGCACGGACAAACGGAAGCUAAGCCGCGAGGUGGAGCAAAUCCUAGAAACCGUGCCU